UGGCGGCGUGCCUAACACAUGCAAGUCGAGCGCGAAAGGGACCUUCGGGUCCCCUGAAAGCGGCGAACGGGUGAGUAACAAGUGGGCAACCUGCCUCAAGGACUGGGAUAACUCCGGGAAACCGGGGCUAAUACCGGGCGAUGUCGUCUGGCGCAAGCCGGCCGACCAAAUGGUAGCUUCGGCCUCCGCCUUGAGAUGGGCCCGCUUCCUAUCAGCUUGUUGGUGAGGUAACGGCUCACCAAGGCUACGACGGGUAGCUGGUCUGAGAGGAUGAUCAGCCACACUGGGACUGAGAUACGGCCCAGACUCCUACGGGAGGCAGCAGUGGGGAAUUUUGCGCAAUGGGCGAAAGCCUGACGCAGCAACGCCGCGUGAGCGAAGAAGGCCUUCGGGUUGUAAAGCUCUGUCAGGGGGAAAAAAGGCACCUGGGUUAAUAGCCCAAGGGCUGAUGGUACCCCCAAAGGAAGCCACGGCUAACUACGUGCCAGCAGCCGCGGUAAUACGUAGGUGGCGAGCGUUGUCCGGAAUCAUUGGGCGUAAAGAGCGCGUAGGUGGCUUGUCAGGUCUGAUGUGAAAUCCUGGGGCUCAACUCCAGAACUGCAUCGGA
Molecule: ribosomal RNA, 607 nt
Filed under: uncultured bacterium
Lineage: Bacteria
Description: bacterial SSU rRNA
Rfam family: Bacterial small subunit ribosomal RNA
Source: RNAcentral